CUCUUCCCUUCGAUGUACGGCCAGGCGUAAAUCCAGGGUGGCCAGAGUACUGCUGAAAUACCCCAGGCGCUGGCUGCAAGAAAGGGACAAGGGAGUUCCUGUUACAUAGGCCAAUGAUGUAUACAUAACCUAGCAAAUUGCUGGGAGCAAAUUCAUCGCCUGGUUAAAUAAUUCAAUUUAUUGGAAAAUAAAAUAGACACUUCCCAGCUGGAAUAUCAGUGGUGAAUUGGUGGAUUGCUGUCGCCUCUCUGAAAAGCGUUCCUAAAUUACGUCAGUGAAAUAGAAAUUUCAUAGGUGACUCUUGUGAGCGUCUGUACGCCGUCAAAGCUCGUCUAAUGGCCGGUUGCCAUCUAGCUACAGUUUAUCCACUCUCUGUGAAAACUCUUUCCCUUUGUCGUGGCAGUUACUUACCUUGACGGUACUAGUGGCUCGAUGGCCAUAGACACGAGAGUAUAAUGAUUUCAAAAUGGACUCACCGAUCAUAAUCGCUGCCUUAACCGUAGUCCUUCUUGCUCUAUAAGUGAGGGGCCUCGUGACCGAGAAGUACCGAUCGAAGCUGAUGAUAAGAAGAUUCAAGACGGAGGCAUUGCUCGCGAGG
Long non-coding RNA from Cephus cinctus (wheat stem sawfly), 598 nucleotides. RefSeq lists it as uncharacterized. The record is from RefSeq and is a predicted model, not a curated record. NCBI's taxonomy places the organism in Eukaryota, Metazoa, Arthropoda, Insecta, Hymenoptera, Cephidae. The transcript is spliced from 3 exons.